UACAGAGGGGGCAAGCGUUGUUCGGAAUUACUGGGCGUAAAGGGCGCGUAGGCGGCCUUCUAAGUCGAACGUGAAAUCCCCGGGCUCAACCCGGGAACUGCGUCCGAUACUGGAAGGCUUGAAUCCGGGAGAGGGAUGUGGAAUUCCAGGUGUAGCGGUGAAAUGCGUAGAUAUCUGGAGGAACACCGGUGGCGAAGGCGACAUCCUGGACCGGUACUGACGCUGAGGUGCGAAAGCGUGGGGAGCAAACAGG
RNAcentral lists this ribosomal RNA (253 nucleotides) under uncultured bacterium. RNAcentral describes it as "partial 16S ribosomal RNA". It matches the Rfam family "Bacterial small subunit ribosomal RNA", at positions 524 to 776 of the family's 1533-position model. The record is from RNAcentral.